Clarias gariepinus (North African catfish) is the source of this 503-nucleotide non-coding RNA. Lineage: Eukaryota; Metazoa; Chordata; Actinopteri; Siluriformes; Clariidae. The record is from the annotation of a RefSeq genome assembly.
ACAAAUUGUAAAUAUAUUCUAGUGGUUAAAUUUUUUUUUAUAUUCUGUCAUGAAGACAAAUUUAUUUUUUGUCUUAUAAAUAUGUAUUACCUAUCCACAUAUUUGAUCAGUGUUAUUUUGUGUAAUGAAUGUCUCCCUCUGUGUGUGGAAUCAGACGCUGCUCUCCCGGCUCCUGUUCUGACCGUUCUCCCUCCGUCCAGUAAACAGCUGGAGUCUAAAAAAGCCACUCUAGUGUGUUUGUUCAGCGAGGUGGCCGGUGGUUUUGCUGAUGUGCGUUGGCUCGUGAACGGGAACUCGGUCACCAGUGGAGUCAUCACCGGCUCUGCACUGCAGCAAACCAAUAAGAAAUUCACACUGAGCAGCUAUUUGACCAUCGACAGCUCCGAGUGGGAAAACAACAAAGACAUAACAUGUGAAGUGUCUGCUGGAGGAAAAGCUGCAUCGGUGAAGAUUAACAAGUCUGAAUGCAGUGAAUGAACCUGAUUACUGUUUAUAUAUUAAAU